Molecule: transfer RNA, 65 nt
Filed under: Grapsus albolineatus
Lineage: Eukaryota; Metazoa; Arthropoda; Malacostraca; Decapoda; Grapsidae
Description: tRNA-Leu
Source: RNAcentral
UCUAGAAUGGCAGAUAGAUGUAUAGGAUUUAAGCUCCUACUAGGAAAAAUUUUUUUCUUCUAGAA